RNAcentral lists this ribosomal RNA (474 nucleotides) under uncultured bacterium. RNAcentral describes it as "bacterial SSU rRNA". It matches the Rfam family "Bacterial small subunit ribosomal RNA", at positions 335 to 802 of the family's 1533-position model. The record is from RNAcentral.
ACUCCUACGGGAGGCAGCAGUGGGGAAUAUUGGACAAUGGGCGAAAGCCUGAUCCAGCCAUGCCGCGUGUGUGAAGAAGGCCUUCGGGUUGUAAAGCACUUUCAGCGAGGAAGAACGCUUGUGGGUUAAUACCCCGCAAGAAGGACAUCACUCGCAGAAGAAGCACCGGCUAACUCCGUGCCAGCAGCCGCGGUAAUACGGAGGGUGCAAGCGUUAAUCGGAAUUACUGGGCGUAAAGCGCGCGUAGGCGGCUUGAUAAGCCGGUUGUGAAAGCCCCGGGCUCAACCUGGGAACGGCAUCCGGAACUGUCAGGCUAGAGUGCAGGAGAGGAAGGUAGAAUUCCCGGUGUAGCGGUGAAAUGCGUAGAGAUCGGGAGGAAUACCAGUGGCGAAGGCGGCCUUCUGGACUGACACUGACGCUGAGGUGCGAAAGCGUGGGUAGCAAACAGGAUUAGAUACCCUGGUAGCUACGAGU